GAUGAACGCUGGCGGCGUGCCUAAUACAUGCAAGUCGAGCGAACGGACGAGAAGCUUGCUUCUCUGAUGUUAGCGGCGGACGGGUGAGUAACACGUGGAUAACCUACCUAUAAGACUGGGAUAACUUCGGGAAACCGGAGCUAAUACCGGAUAAUAUUUUGAACCGCAUGGUUCAAAAGUGAAAGACGGUCUUGCUGUCACUUAUAGAUGGAUCCGCGCUGCAUUAGCUAGUUGGUAAGGUAACGGCUUACCAAGGCAACGAUGCAUAGCCGACCUGAGAGGGUGAUCGGCCACACUGGAACUGAGACACGGUCCAGACUCCGACGGGAGGCAGCAGUAGGGAAUCUUCCGCGAUGGGCGAAAGCCUGACGGAGCAACGCCGCGUGAGUGAUGAAGGUCUUCGGAUCGUAAAACUCUGUUAUUAGGGAAGAACAUAUGUGUAAGUAACUGUGCACAUCUUGACGGUACCUAAUCAGAAAGCCACGGCUAACUACGUG
RNAcentral lists this ribosomal RNA (497 nucleotides) under uncultured bacterium. RNAcentral describes it as "partial 16S ribosomal RNA". It matches the Rfam family "Bacterial small subunit ribosomal RNA", at positions 28 to 507 of the family's 1533-position model. The record is from RNAcentral.